RNAcentral lists this ribosomal RNA (499 nucleotides) under uncultured bacterium. RNAcentral's name for it is "partial 16S ribosomal RNA". It matches the Rfam family "Bacterial small subunit ribosomal RNA", at positions 899 to 1397 of the family's 1533-position model. The record is from RNAcentral.
ACUCAAAGGAAUUGACGGGGGCCCGCACAAGCGGUGGAUCAUGUGGUUUAAUUCGAAGCAACGCGAAGAACCUUACCUGGGUUUGACAUCCUUUGACAGUUCUAGAGAUAGAAUCUUCGUAGCAAUACGACAAAGUGACAGGUGCUGCAUGGCUGUCGUCAGCUCGUGUGGUGACAUGUCGGGUUAAGUCCCUCAACGAGCGCAACCCCUGUCUUUAGUUGCCAGCAUUAAGUUGGGCACUCUAAAGAGACUGCCGUGGUGAACACGGAGGAAGGUGGGGAUGACGUCAAGUCCUCAUGGCCCUUAUAUCCAGGGCUACACACGUGAUACAAUGGAUGGCACAAAGGGAAGCGAGAUAGCGAUGUUAAGCUAAUCCCAAAAAACCAUUCUCAGUUCGGAUUGAAGUCUGCAACUCGACUUCAUGAAGGUGGAAUCGCUAGUAAUCGCGGAUCAGAACGCCGCGGUGAAUACGUUCCCGGGCCUUGCACACACCGCCCGU